UGGGGAAUAUUGGACAAUGGGCGCAAGCCUGAUCCAGCAAUGCCGCGUGUGUGAAGAAGGCCUUCGGGUUGUAAAGCACUUUCAGCAGGGAGGAAAGCCUUAGGGUUAAUAACCCUGAGGGGUGACGUUACCUGCAGAAGAAGCACCGGCUAACUCUGUGCCAGCAGCCGCGGUAAUACAGAGGGUGCAAGCGUUAAUCGGAAUUACUGGGCGUAAAGCGCUCGUAGGCGGAUUCUUAAGUCGAUUGUGA
This 250-nucleotide ribosomal RNA is filed under the name uncultured bacterium. RNAcentral's name for it is "partial 16S ribosomal RNA". It matches the Rfam family "Bacterial small subunit ribosomal RNA", at positions 355 to 597 of the family's 1533-position model. The record is from RNAcentral.